This 450-nucleotide ribosomal RNA is filed under the name uncultured bacterium. Its description in RNAcentral is "partial 16S ribosomal RNA". It matches the Rfam family "Bacterial small subunit ribosomal RNA", at positions 354 to 796 of the family's 1533-position model. The record is from RNAcentral.
GUGGGGAAUUUUGGACAAUGGGCGCAAGCCUGAUCCAGCAAUGCCGCGUGCAGGAAGAAGGCCUUCGGGUUGUAAACUGCUUUUGUACGGAACGAAACGGUCCUGGUUAAUACCUGGGGCUAAUGACGGUACCGUAAGAAUAAGCACCGGCUAACUACGUGCCAGCAGCCGCGGUAAUACGUAGGGUGCGAGCGUUAAUCGGAAUUACUGGGCGUAAAGCGUGCGCAGGCGGUGCUGUAAGACAGGCGUGAAAUCCCCGGGCUCAACCUGGGAAGUGCGCGUGUGACUGCAGGGCUGGAGUACGGCAGAGGGGGAUGGAAUUCCGCGUGUAGCAGUGAAAUGCGUAGAUAUGCGGAGGAACACCGAGGGCGAAGGCAGUCCCCUGGGCCUGUACUGACGCUCAUGCACGAAAGCGUGGGGAGCAAACAGGAUUAGAUACCCCAGUAGUCC